Molecule: ribosomal RNA, 507 nt
Filed under: uncultured Glomus
Lineage: Eukaryota; Fungi; Glomeromycota; Glomeromycetes; Glomerales; Glomeraceae
Description: SSU rRNA
Rfam family: Eukaryotic small subunit ribosomal RNA
Source: RNAcentral
AGCAGCCGCGGUAAUUCCAGCUCCAAUAGCGUAUAUUAAAGUUGCUGCAGUUAAAAAGCUCGUAGUUGAAUUUCGGGACCAUCAUGUCGGUCGUGCCUCGGUACGUACUGGCAUUGUUGGUUUCUACCUUCUGACGAACCAUGAUGUCAUUUAUUUGGUGUCGUGGGAAAUCAGGACUGUUACUUUGAAAAAAUUAGAGUGUUUAAAGCAGGCUCACGCUUGAAUACAUUAGCAUGGAAUAAUGAAAUAGGACGUUUGAUUCUAUUUUGAUGGUUUCUAGGAUCGACGUAAUGAUUAAUAGGGAUAGUUGGGGGCAUUAGUAUUCAAUUGUCAGAGGUGAAAUUCUUGGAUUUAUUGAAGACUAACUACUGCGAAAGCAUUUGCCAAGGAUGUUUUCAUUAAUCAAGAACGAAAGUUAGGGGAUCGAAGACGAUCAGAUACCGUCGUAGUCUUAACCAUAAACUAUGCCGACUAGGGAUCGGAUGAUGUUAAUUUUUUAAUGACUCA